AUGGACAUUGAGCUGCCUUGCUUCCGAGGCACCACCUCAAUGAGCUGGACGCCGCGUUCAUGCGCAUCAAGCCAAAGCCCAUGGCCGAAUUCACCGCGCUCGAGAGGCUGUCCCUCAAGGGAAAAAUCGACAACCUUGGCGCCGUGCUUGACCGCUGCCCAUGCCUAUGCGUGCUCGCAGUCACCUUCCGCCUUGUGGAUUCUGCCUUGGUCGAAUCAGCACUCGCCUGGAUCCAGGAGCUUGAUGUCCGGGCAUUCAUAG
Molecule: ribosomal RNA, 261 nt
Filed under: Triticum aestivum (bread wheat)
Lineage: Eukaryota; Viridiplantae; Streptophyta; Magnoliopsida; Poales; Poaceae
Description: partial small subunit ribosomal RNA
Source: RNAcentral